CCUACGGGAGGCAGCAGUGAGGAAUAUUGGUCAAUGGACGAGAGUCUGAACCAGCCAAGUCGCGUGAAGGAUGAAUGCUCUAUGGGUCGUAAACUUCUUUUAUAUGGGAAUAAAAUGUUCCACGUGUCGGAUUUUGUAUGUACCAUAUGAAUAAGGAUCGGCUAACUCCGUGCCAGCAGCCGCGGUAAUACGGAGGAUCCGAGCGUUAUCCGGAUUUAUUGGGUUUAAAGGGUGCGUAGGCGGCUUUUUAAGUCAGCGGUGAAAGUUUGUGGCUCAACCAUAGAAUUGCAGUUGAAACUGGGGGGCUUGAGUAUGUUUGAGGCAGGCGGAAUGCGUGGUGUAGCGGUGAAAUGCUUAGAUAUCACGCAGAACCCCGAUUGCGAAGGCAGCCUGCUAGGCUAUGACUGACGCUGAUGCACGAAAGUGUGGGUAUCAAACAGGAUUAGAUACCCCGGUAGUC
This 460-nucleotide ribosomal RNA is filed under the name uncultured bacterium. RNAcentral describes it as "partial 16S ribosomal RNA". It matches the Rfam family "Bacterial small subunit ribosomal RNA", at positions 338 to 795 of the family's 1533-position model. The record is from RNAcentral.